RNAcentral lists this ribosomal RNA (497 nucleotides) under uncultured bacterium. RNAcentral describes it as "partial 16S ribosomal RNA". It matches the Rfam family "Bacterial small subunit ribosomal RNA", at positions 28 to 507 of the family's 1533-position model. The record is from RNAcentral.
GAUGAACGCUGGCGGCGUGCCUAAUACAUGCAAGUCGAGCGAACAGACGAGGAGCUUGCUCCUCUGACGUUAGCGGCGGACGGGUGAGUAACACGUGGAUAACCUACCUAUAAGACUGGGAUAACUUCGGGAAACCGGAGCUAAUACCGGAUAACAUGUUGAACCGCAUGGUUCAACAGUGAAAGACGGUCUUGCUGUCACUUAUAGAUGGAUCCGCGCCGCAUUAGCUAGUUGGUAAGGUAACGGCUUACCAAGGCAACGAUGCGUAGCCGACCUGAGAGGGUGAUCGGCCACACUGGAACUGAGACACGGUCCAGACUCCUACGGGAGGCAGCAGUAGGGAAUCUUCCGCAAUGGGCGAAAGCCUGACGGAGCAACGCCGCGUGAGUGAAGAAGGUCUUCGUAUCGUAAAACUCUGUUAUUAGGGAAGAACAAAUGUGUAAGUAACUAUGCACGUCUUGACGGUACCUAAUCAGAAAGCCACGGCUAACUACGUG